This 467-nucleotide ribosomal RNA is filed under the name uncultured bacterium. RNAcentral describes it as "bacterial SSU rRNA". It matches the Rfam family "Bacterial small subunit ribosomal RNA", at positions 43 to 505 of the family's 1533-position model. The record is from RNAcentral.
CAGGCCUAACACAUGCAAGUCGAGCGGAGCGAGGGUGCUUGCACCUUAGCUUAGCGGCGGACGGGUGAGUAAUGCUUAGGAAUCUGCCUAUUAGUGGGGGACAACGUUUCGAAAGGAACGCUAAUACCGCAUACGUCCUACGGGAGAAAGCAGGGGAUCUUCGGACCUUGCGCUAAUAGAUGAGCCUAAGUCGGAUUAGCUAGUUGGUGGGGUAAAGGCCUACCAAGGCGACGAUCUGUAGCGGGUCUGAGAGGAUGAUCCGCCACACUGGGACUGAGACACGGCCCAGACUCCUACGGGAGGCAGCAGUGGGGAAUAUUGGACAAUGGGGGGAACCCUGAUCCAGCCAUGCCGCGUGUGUGAAGAAGGCCUUUUGGUUGUAAAGCACUUUAAGCGAGGAGGAGGCUUACCUAGUUAAUACCUGGGAUAAGUGGACGUUACUCGCAGAAUAAGCACCGGCAACUAGG